GGCUGGAUCGGUGACAGGUGCUGCAUGGCUGUCGUCAGCUCGUGUCGUGAGAUGUUGGGUUAAGUCCCGCAACGAGCGCAACCCUCGUCCUUAGUUGCCAGCAUUAAGUUGGGCACUCUAAGGAGACUGCCGGUGUUAAACCGGAGGAAGGCGGGGAUGACGUCAAGUCCUCAUGGCCCUUAUGUCCAGGGCUACACACGUGCUACAAUGGCCGGUACAAAGGGUAGCAAGACCGCGAGGUGGAGCCAACCCCAAAAAGCCGGUCUCAGUUCGGAUUGGAGUCUGCAACUCGACUCCAUGAAGUUGGAAUCGCUAGUAAUCGUGGAUCAGCAUGCCACGGUGAAUACGUUCCCGGGCCUU
RNAcentral lists this ribosomal RNA (360 nucleotides) under uncultured Desulfuromonas sp. Its description in RNAcentral is "bacterial SSU rRNA". It matches the Rfam family "Bacterial small subunit ribosomal RNA", at positions 1021 to 1382 of the family's 1533-position model. Lineage: Bacteria; Pseudomonadati; Thermodesulfobacteriota; Desulfuromonadia; Desulfuromonadales; Desulfuromonadaceae. The record is from RNAcentral.